This 449-nucleotide long non-coding RNA is filed under the name Manihot esculenta (cassava). Its description in RNAcentral is "long non-coding RNA (MESC_LNC009830)". The record is from RNAcentral. Lineage: Eukaryota; Viridiplantae; Streptophyta; Magnoliopsida; Malpighiales; Euphorbiaceae.
CACAAUUAAAUCACACCACGGAUGGACUGAUUCAAAAAUCCCUCAACUCCAUGCCCGGCCCUAUUAUGGGCACCACAGGACUUCGUACUCGGAGUUAUUGCCCGGCCCUAUUAUGGGCACCACAGGACUUCGUAUAUAGAAGGCUAAUGAAUCAUCCUAAUGUCCAUCCACUAUCAUCUAUCACAACAAUACAAUGCGGCAUAGUCGUGAAUUCUAAUGCAAACAACCUAUAAUAUGAUCAUGAUGCAUGAAGCAUGAUAAAAGCAUUUCAUUUCUUAAUUUAAAAGGUUAAGCUUAGUUCCACUCACCUCUGGCUGACUCUGACAAACUCUGUAGCAGCUGGCUCACUGCUGGGGUCCUUGGUUCCUCGGGUCCGAACCUACACAGGUGGACUCCAAUGCAGGACCAAUCAUACAUAAACAUAACUCUAAUAUAUUCCCCAAAAACCC